Molecule: unclassified non-coding RNA, 332 nt
Filed under: soil metagenome
Description: partial contains 5.8S ribosomal RNA, internal transcribed spacer 2, and large subunit ribosomal RNA
Rfam family: 5.8S ribosomal RNA (bases 1-120)
Source: RNAcentral
GAUGAAGAACGCAGUAAAAUGCGAUAAGUAAUGUGAAUUGCAGAAUUCAGUGAAUCAUCGAAUCUUUGAACGCACAUUGCGCCCGCCAGUAUUCUGGCGGGCAUGCCUGUUCGAGCGUCAUUUCAACCCUCAAGCACAGCUUGGUGUUGGGACUCGCGUUAAUUCGCGUUCCCCAAAUUGAUUGGCGGUCACGUCGAGCUUCCAUAGCGUAGUAGUAAAACCCUCGUUACUGGUAAUCGUCGCGGCCACGCCGUUAAACCCCAACUUCUGAAUGUUGACCACGGAUCAGGUAGGAAUACCCGCUGAACUUAAGCAUAUCAAUAAGCGGAGGA